GAGCACUGGGUGUUAUAUGUUGGCAAAUCGACUCCAAUAAAAAAAUAUACAAAAAAAAAAGAAGAAGAAGAACAAUAUAUAGUGGAAGGGAAACAUAUUCCAGUAAAUGAUUUCUUGAAAUACCAGAAACCACCAUUAGUUUUUUUUUUUUUUUCUGAAGAAGAACAAAAAUUCUGAUAUGAUUUCUAGGGCCUUGUUAUUUAGGGAACUCAUAUCACAGUGCUGUGUUACAGCAUAAAAAUACUUAAUGCUGAAAAUAGAGGGAUGCUCUUUGAGGUAGAUUCAGUGAAUUCCUUUUAACUUUUUAUGUCUCCUUAAAGAGGCUUUAGCUAAAAGUGUGGAGGUCAGGGAACCAUAAAUCAUGGACAUCGAAAUACUGAAAGCUGUGAACAUAAAUGUUUCGAUAAAUACCAAGUGGUAUCAAAUUCUGCUGUGAAAUUCCAAAGUGUAAUAUAAUCCUUUAGUGUUAAGGAAAGAGGUCUUCAAAUGAACAAGAGUUAAAGGUGGUCAGCUUGGCUUUUAUAUUUUGAAGAGGGAGCAAAGCCUUAAGAGUGCUGCUGCUGACUGUUUGUCAGUCUAGAAACAGCAAUGGAAUGGCUGUUUCAUGCCAGUAGGUUGUCUUUUCUUUCCCAUUUAUGUCUUUCUUUUUGUUCAAUAUAUGUAUGUUAUAUACCUAUUACAUAUACAGAGGCCUUUUGACAUCAAAGAUUCUGGUUCUGCAGCUUGGAUAAUCUAUAAGAUUAUACCGACCAUAACAUAGCAGGCACAUGCCAGACACUUGACCCCUAAAAGGGAGUCACAGGCCAUGGCAUAUUUAAACACAGUGAGAAGUCAAGUUAACAGCAAGUAUACUCUUGAACAAAUGUGCAUUGUUGUUACAAUUGAAACCACAUGCUGAGUAAUAUAACAUAGGUGCAACCUAACUGAGAAUGUGUAGACAGUUGGAAUCAUGAAUGUAUUAUGAUUUUUAAAAAUUUAUAUUAUGUCUGUGAGUCUUGGGGCCCCUCACUCUGUUUUCUUAGUGUAAGUCAGCAACACAAACCCAGCUGCAUCGAUAGACCUGGGUACUGGAAGACCAGUUCCUCUCUAGCUGCUGGGACCAUGGAAAGACUUCAGCUGCUACAGGAGCCUAAGGACCUGAUCUUUCUAAACCAUGGCAAACCUGAACUUACCUAAGGGGCUAAAUCACAGACCGCUGAAGCAGACAUCUCUGAAUAUAGAACUAUUUCAGUGGCUGUUUAUUACUUUAUGGAAUAUUCAGCCAUAGACAAUUGUACAAAUAGAUACUUACACUAAACCUUUCAAGCGUCAUUUGGUUUGAAAUAACACAUGUUUCUUUUUUUGAGGUCCAAUUUUUUAGCUCAUUUUUUGUUUAUUGGCAACCUAAAUUAAGACAGGUUAGAGAUGUUGAGUUUUGUCUGCAGGCAGAUGAAAAUGAUGAAAUAAUGAUUUAUUUGUGUGUCUUUUGUGCAGUAACAGCUAGAGUGGUCUGGAAAUCCCAUUGGUAAUUUCUUUUUGCUUCUGGUCUAUAUCUUUACUUGUAGCCAGACAUGGAAAGCUUGAGGGGAAAGAGGAAGAGAGAAUGAAUUUAGGGAGUGUCUUCUAUUCAUUGGCAGCAUUCUUCUCUUGCAAGGAGCAUGGGGUCUGUGGGAAGAGUGUAAACUCCACCAUGAGAAAGGAAUGAAGGUACAACUUGUUCUCAUUCAGUAUACUUUCUUUCCAUAUAUUUCUACUUUCUCUUUGUAAAAGGAAAGGCUGAAAUUAAAUAACCAGUCUCUCUGGUAUUAAAGUGCUCUGACUUGAUUACAUACCCAUAGCCUAUUUUACCACAGAUAAUAUUUGCAGUUCACUUAAAAUUUUUCUAUCAGAGCCUUUUCCUACUUUGUAAGUGUUCAUUGAUUCAUUCAUUCAACAUAUAUUUAAGGAUUUUUUUCUACAUAAAAAAUGCUAUUUUUGAGGGGAUGAGAUAAGGAAUUGUAGCAGAGUACUUUUAUAUAUGUAUCUUUUAACUUAGAGGUGAAAAAAACCCCCACUCCUUCACAAGAUAUAUUACACACCAAAAGAUGAGUUCACAAAGCAGCAUUAGAUGAAUGGAAUAAAAAGUAAGUUCUAUGAAUCCAGAGACAGGAGAGUCAGCAUUUCACCAUGGACAGGAAUGAUUUUUUGAGUGAGAGAGGCCUUGUGCUAUGUGCGAUAGCUCAGUAAAGGUUGGAUGGGGAGAGAAGACUUGAGGUAUCCCCCCCCAAGAAUAUAGAGUGGUAGGAGCCAAACUGGAGAGGGAAAAUGAGCAUGGAACAAUUAAAGAAGGUGUAAGUAGACCAGUGUGGCUAGAUUGGUAGUUUUACCAAGGGGCAUAUCUACUUAGUCUUUAACUUCAGCAAAUAUUUAUGGAGUUCUGACUGCUCUGUGUCAGGUACUUUGGAUACAAAGAUGAAAAAGACAGACAUGGUUUAGGCAAUCAAAUAGGUUACAGUCUGGUGGGUGAUAUGGACAAUAAACAUUGGAACCAACAAAUUUGUGAAAUAGUGGGAAAUUAGGUAAGAAUAAUUAGGAAACAUACAAGGAUCUAUAAGAGAUCAGGGGAAAACAACUAGAAAAUAAAAGAACGGUGUGUAUUCUAGCCCAGAGGAGGCAAUGUGACAUUGUAUAGAUAAUUAGUCAACCUGAGUUCAAAUCCCAGCUCUGCCAUUUGUUGGCUGUUGGACUUGGUAAGUUAUCAAACCUGUCUGAGCAUAGUUUUGUACCUUUGUUAAAUGGGAAUAAAUACCAUUUACCUCAUAGGAUUGCCCAAUAUUUGAAUGAAAUAACAUACGACACAGUAUGCAUAGUUUUGGGGAACACAGUAGAUACUCACUAAGCAUUAGAAUCUAUCAUUUAUGCCUAAACACCAGAGAAAUAGAGAAAUCCUAUUUUUUCUUUUAGAAAAAGACUCUGGAGGGUGACUGGUGAUGGGCACUGAGGGGGGUCCCUUGAUGGGAUGAGCACUGGGUAUUAUACUAUAUGUUGGCAAUGAAGCUCUAAUAAAAAUAUAUAUAACAAAAAAAAAAGAAAAAAAA
RNAcentral lists this long non-coding RNA (3056 nucleotides) under Canis lupus familiaris (dog). Its description in RNAcentral is "lncRNA (ENSCAFG00000056581.1, ENSCAFG00845017800.1)". Lineage: Eukaryota; Metazoa; Chordata; Mammalia; Carnivora; Canidae. The record is from RNAcentral.